RNAcentral lists this ribosomal RNA (253 nucleotides) under uncultured bacterium. RNAcentral's name for it is "partial 16S ribosomal RNA". It matches the Rfam family "Bacterial small subunit ribosomal RNA", at positions 524 to 776 of the family's 1533-position model. The record is from RNAcentral.
UACGAAGGGGGCUAGCGUUGCUCGGAAUCACUGGGCGUAAAGGGUGCGUAGGCGGGUUAUUAAGUCAGAGGUGAAAUCCUGGAGCUCAACUCCAGAACUGCCUUUGAUACUGAUAGUCUUGAGUAUGGGAGAGGUGAGUGGAGCUGCGAGUGUAGAGGUGAAAUUCGUAGAUAUUCGCAAGAACACCAGUGGCGAAGGCGGCUCACUGGCCCAUUACUGACGCUGAGGCACGAAAGCGUGGGGAGCAAACAGG